Long non-coding RNA from Trifolium pratense (red clover), 3467 nucleotides. RefSeq lists it as uncharacterized. The record is from RefSeq and is a predicted model, not a curated record. NCBI's taxonomy places the organism in Eukaryota, Viridiplantae, Streptophyta, Magnoliopsida, Fabales, Fabaceae. The transcript has 6 exons.
CAUGCUUGUACACUUGAAUGUUUUAUUUUUGAGGUUUUCAGAUCAAGCCACUUGUGAAAGUCACUGUUACUCUCUCUCACUUAUUUACUUCUGUGCCUGGUUGAAUAUUUUACAUUGAAGACCAUGCUCUGAACUAGUGUGGGGGAGGAUAUUUAUCUUGGGUAAGGGGACAUAUAAGAAUGAUAAGGCUGGAUUGACACUUGCUGAUCUUGCUUACCGACGUGCAAAAGCAGUAAAGGCCACUAAGAGGGCACUAGACUCUGGCAAGAUUGUGAAGAAUCAUCAAAAGAAAUCUAAUAAAUCUAAUCCUUUGCCAAAACCUUCCUCUUCCAGGCUAGAGGAAAUGCGGGAGCUAUUCCAGACUGACGUGAAGGAUAAAAAGCCGAAAUGGAGAGGUUCUUGAACAGGAAAGAAGGCGAAGAAGUCAUUGAAAAGCAAGUCAAGCUGUAACCAGUGCUGCCAUGCUGAUGGGUUGCAGUUCCCAGGAAUUAAUAACGGCAUUAUCUACCCAUAAAAUCCAACCUUGCGAGCGAGGACACUGUUGCCACAAGUUUGACAUUAUUGCAGGCAAUUGAAACAAGAGAUACAAUUGCCAAAUUUAUUUAUGCAAGCUUGUUUGAAUGGCUUGUACAACAAGUUAACAAGUCACUUGCACUGGGUGAAAACCAUACAGAGAAAUUCAUUAGUAUCCUUGCUUUUUAUGGGUUUCAGCCAUUCCAGGUAUUCAAUUUGUAUUAAUUUGCUAACAUGGAGAUAAGAGACUGUUGAAGUAAACAAAUUGUGUGCAUUUUUUGGAACAAUGAAAAUGCCAAAAAGAAUUCAUUAUUUCCAGAAAUAAAUCAUUCCUACUUAACAUUUUAUCUUCAUUCCAUCACAAUGGUUCACUUCAAGAGUCCCACAUCUUAUUAGCAAGUUAAAAUGAACACGUAUUUUGAAAAUGCAAAUAGAAAAUGUUUUCAUUAAGUCAACGGGUUCUUAAAUUCUGUUUCAAAAGAAAUAUUUUCAUUGCUUUCAUGAUAAUGAUAUCAAUACAGUAUAGCAUAUUUAAUCAUGUAGGUACUCGUAUGAUAACAUUGUUUUUCCUCGUUAUUCCCCUAAAACUCUACACCCUUCACUAAACCCUCACUUUCAUACUUGCUCUUGCCACCACAUCGCCUUCAUUGCAUGAACUGACUUGAUGAUUCCCUCUCAAAAGGUAUUCAACAUGAUUCGUUGUGUGUGACAGACUUGAUAAUUCCUUCUCAUAAUAUGUAGGUAUGUUCUUCGAACUUCUUUGGUUUUUUUUUGGAUUCUAUUUUCUUUUUAAUUAUUUUCAAUAUUUCUCAUCUGGGUUUCCAAUUUCAAUUCUUAGCUAUUCUUCUUUCAAUUUUAUUUUCUUGCCAUUUAUUAUUAGGAUUUACUGUUUUUGGUUAAUCUUUUGGUAGUUCAUUAUAUAAUUGAUGAUUUUGUGCCGUUUAUUUAACACAAUGAUUUUGACUUUGUUGGUGAUGUCUUUUGAAUGAUGAGAACUGAUUUUGAAAGGAUUUGUUAUACUAAAGUUGUUUUGGACAAGAAAUGGUUUUCUGAAUUUUAAUCAACUAGAUGGUUGUGUGUAACAUGUAGUCCACUUUACAUGGUAGAAGUUUUUUUUUUGUUCUUGUUUUUUUUUUUUUUAGAGUUUCUCGUUUCUAAUUACUACACCCCAUUUUAUAAAACUUUAGCUAAAUGGGUUCUUCGGCUAAAAUUACAACUCCAUUAUUUUUUGUGUGUUUUAUGAUUUGGUCAAUUAAUAUGGUCCUUUGUCAUGAGUCACAAUUACACAUUUCCACUUAGAGAAACGAUCAAAAUACUCUUCAAGAGUGAUAUAUGAGGAAUAUACUAUAUGUGCAUCUGAUAAUUUUUUUGUUCUAUAUAUGUUUGCUGUCAUCUAUUAUAUUUAUGUUUUUAAUCUAUAAAUAUAUCUAUAACUAGAAUACAUGGUUUUCACAUACCCUAUUUUCUUUUAUUUAACUGCAAUCACACACGGUUUCUGAAAUGUUAUCCCCUUCCACUGUCCCUUUCUCAAUCUCUCUCCCCUUCACUUCUCACAGAAAUGCAUUCUUAUUCAAACCACACAACAAAUGAAAUAAAUGAUGGGAAGGAAAUAGAAAACAUAGAAAUGUGGUUUUUUAUUUUGUCAAUUACAUAAAUUGUCUUUAUGAUGGGAAAGAAGGAAUUACGUAGUAUGUCGGAAGAGACUUGAAGAGGGAAGGGAAUUACAUAGGGCAGUAUUAACAUGGCGUUUUUUGUUUUGUUUUUGACAUCAUCAGUUGAAGCAAAGGUGAUUUUCAAUUUGUGUUUUGAACCGUCGAUCACAUAAGAAAGAUCACUCACGCAGUCAUGCUGCAAAGGUUUGCGGCACUCUGUAAACUUCUAUUGUUUCCUCUUCUUUUGCUAUCUCUCUGAACUCAUUUUUAUAUUUGCUAUUUUCACUUCCUAAAUUCAUUAUGAUUUCUAUUGAUCACUGUUUUUUCUCCCUUAUGAUUUUUCACCCGUUUGGUGAAUUUUAUGAAGUUUAAAAAGUUUUAUAAUUUCUAUUGAUCACUUUUUGAAAAGUUUAAAAUGUCUAUUUAUGUCAAAUUUGAUGAAAAAAAGAUUGUAAAUACCUCUUGGUGAAUUUUAUGAAGUUUAAAAAGUUUUACAAUUUUUAUUGAUCACUUUUUGAAAAGUUUAAAAUGUCUAUUUAUGUCAAAAUUGAUGGAAAAAAAUUGUAAAUAGAAGCCAUUGUUUGUGGUUGCAUCUUUCUUUUGGCAUAUGUUCGACGUGAAAGGAUGAAUGAGUCUUAUAAUUUUGAUGUUUUGAAUUCAAACUGUGAUUUAGAAAGUGAAAUGCAUAAAUGAAGGGGCCAUAUGGUGCAAAAGAGUGUAACCGCAACAACUCAAAAAUACGAGGAAGUUCCAUGGUUGGCCUAAGCGAAAAUGGAAGAGAAAGUGCCCUCUCUCUGCUGCCAAAUAGGCUAAAACUGGAUGAUGUCUUUGGGGCUCCAAAGUAACCUCAUUAAUGAUAACACAGCUUCAGAUUCAAUCUUCGUUGAGAUUCAAUGAAGCUUCAAAUUCAAUCUUCCUUGAAAUCCAGGUUCAGUUGAAACCCCACUACAUAGCUAGCUUAUUGUAUGGUAACUCUAAUUUGAGUGAUAGAAUAGAAUGAAAUAAUAUCAAACAAGAAGUUCUUGAUAUGAUUAAAAUAACCUUAUAAAAUAUGUUGAUUAUUGUUGGUGGUAAUAGGAACGUUAAAACUUAGAAGUUGCUCAAUGGAAAAUGUAGGGUAAUUUACAGGGUUGUUAAGCAUUAGCUGGAUUGACUUUUAUUUUUAUGUUGAGCAUUAGCUUAGAUGUAUGUGCAUGGAAUUCUUCACUCUGAUAUGUGGGGUGUGACACCCUCCAAUUUGUGGGACUGGGGUGUACUUCGGGAGAUGAUAUCAAAGAUAGGUGUAAGAAAUUCACUUCGUGA